Cervus elaphus (red deer) is the source of this 159-nucleotide long non-coding RNA. RefSeq lists it as uncharacterized. The record is from RefSeq and is a predicted model, not a curated record. Lineage: Eukaryota; Metazoa; Chordata; Mammalia; Artiodactyla; Cervidae. The transcript is spliced from 2 exons.
CAGAGCGGUGUUUUCUGCUUGCCCCGAACGCAGCUUUCUUAUCCAUUCAACUGCUGAUGGACAUCUAGGUUGCUUCCAUAUCCUGGCUAUUAUAAACAGUGCUGCGAUGAACAUUGGGGUGCACGUGUCUCCUUCAGUUAAAGAUGAAAUUUUAACAUG